CCGGAAUAGCUCAGUUGGUA
Molecule: transfer RNA, 20 nt
Filed under: Ulota crispa
Lineage: Eukaryota; Viridiplantae; Streptophyta; Bryopsida; Orthotrichales; Orthotrichaceae
Also listed under: 2 other names
Description: partial tRNA-Phe
Source: RNAcentral